This 461-nucleotide ribosomal RNA is filed under the name uncultured beta proteobacterium. RNAcentral's name for it is "bacterial SSU rRNA". It matches the Rfam family "Bacterial small subunit ribosomal RNA", at positions 200 to 642 of the family's 1533-position model. Lineage: Bacteria; Pseudomonadati; Pseudomonadota; Betaproteobacteria. The record is from RNAcentral.
AGGAAAGCAGGGGAUCGCAAGACCUUGCGCUCUUGGAGCGGCCGAUGUCUGAUUAGCUAGUUGGUGAGGUAAAGGCUUACCAAGGCGACGAUCAGUAGCUGGUCUGAGAGGACGACCAGCCACACUGGGACUGAGACACGGCCCAGACUCCUACGGGAGGCAGCAGUGGGGAAUUUUGGACAAUGGGGGAAACCCUGAUCCAGCCAUGCCGCGUGAGUGAAGAAGGCCUUCGGGUUGUAAAGCUCUUUCAGCCGGAACGAAACGGUCACGGCUAAUACCUGUGACUACUGACGGUACCGGAAGAAGAAGCACCGGCUAACUACGUGCCAGCAGCCGCGGUAAUACGUAGGGUGCAAGCGUUAAUCGGAAUUACUGGGCGUAAAGCGUGCGCAGGCGGUUUUGUAAGUCAGAUGUGAAAUCCCCGGGCUUAACCUGGGAACUGCGUUUGAAACUACAAGGCU